GAGGAAUAUUGGACAAUGGGGGCAACCCUGAUCCAGCCAUGCCGCGUGAGUGAAGAAGGCCUUCGGGUUGUAGAGCUCUUUCAAUAGUGAAGAUAAUGACGGUAGCUAUAGAAGAAGCCCCAGCUAAAUUCGUGCCAGCAGCCGCGGUAAUACGAAUGGGGCAAGCGUUGUUCGGAAUCACUGGGCUUAAAGCGUGCGUAGGCGGUUAUGAAAGUCAGAAGUGAAAGCCCAGGGCUCAACCCUGGAACUGCUUUUGAAACUCCAUAACUAGAAUCCGGGAGGGGUCAGUAGAAUUCCUAGUGUAGAGGUGAAAUUCGCAGAUAUUAGGAGGAAUACCAGUGGCGUAGGCGACUGACUGGACCGGCAUUGACGCUGAGGUACGAAAGCGUGGGUAGCAAAC
RNAcentral lists this ribosomal RNA (400 nucleotides) under uncultured bacterium. Its description in RNAcentral is "bacterial SSU rRNA". It matches the Rfam family "Bacterial small subunit ribosomal RNA", at positions 356 to 773 of the family's 1533-position model. The record is from RNAcentral.